Molecule: long non-coding RNA, 504 nt
Organism: Prunus persica (peach)
Lineage: Eukaryota; Viridiplantae; Streptophyta; Magnoliopsida; Rosales; Rosaceae
Exons: 3
Source: RefSeq, a predicted model, not a curated record
UCUUUUUCUUUCGUUUUUGGGUUUUAGUCUCUGUCACUCACUUUCCCUUCCUCAUUUUUUUUAGUUGAAGAAGAAAGUGUUUUCUUCCUUAGAGCUAUUGGAGUUAGAGGAAUCAUGUGGUAGUUUGAUUUUCGUAUCAGUUGGUUCAGAUUGACAGAGAGAUUCAAUUUGGGGGUUUUCUUUGCUCUUUUCAGUUGAGGUUGAUUCCCUGUUCUGAUGAGUAGUUCUGGAGAUAGUUCACAAGAAGGGCUCAAUGUUGACUUGGGGGAUGGUCUAGAGGGAGAUGGUUCUGCAAGUGGUACUGGCAAUGACGCAAAGCAAGGUCGGGGUCAAGGGAUAUGCAACUGGUGUCUAAAUAACAUGAGAAAAAGUAUCAGACUCCAGCAAACUUGAUGCGUGGGACACUCUCGUGUUUCUUAUUCCUAAAAUUAUUGAAUACUUAGUGCAUGUAUGUGAGUUUAUUAGUUAUAUAUUUUAGAGUUGAUGUAAGACUACCUUAUUGUG